GCGGAAAGAAAUAUCAAUUAAGCAAGAUUAAAGUAUUGAAGAAUUUAACAAAAUACACAAUAUAAUCUCACUAGGACCCCGUGUCACGAAUUUGAGCCUCUAGAAUACAGAAUAUCAUCCUAAUACAUGGUAUAUCCAAAGUCUGAUAAUGCGGAAAUAAAGAGAUAGGAUAGGAGGGAGAAGAUCAAUGGCUUCGAACGCCGUGCAGCUACCUCGAUACUCCAAGAAGCUGGAUCUGCUGAUCAACUGGAUCUAUUGAGCCUGAGACUGCCUUGGAUCUGCACACAAGGUGCAGGGAGUAAAGUGAGUACUCCGACCCAGAGAGUAAUAAAAGUAACUACAGUCCGAAGAUAAGAAAAUCCAGUAAAUACACAAAGUAAGCUAAAAUCCAAAUAUACAGCAACAUAUGGAACUGAGCAGCUAAACAAUAGUAUAAAUAGAAAUCCAUGAAUGCAAUGCAAUGCAUAUGAUGGUACAUUCCAGUACCCACUGCGGCGUGCAGCCCGAGCCAUCCAUAUUUAUUUAUCGUCGACGGCGCUCACUAGGGGUGUGUACAGACUCUGGAGGGGCUCCUACAGCCAAGCGCAAUAUCUUGGUCAGUCAUUGUUACCUGACCGGUCAGCCAUUGUUACCUGACCAAUUUAUAUCAUACAGUGCCAUUGUUACCACUGUUCAAGUAUAUCAUCCAGUGUCAUUGUUACCAUUAUUUCAAGUAUAUCACACAGUGUCAUUGUUACCACUGUUUCAAGUAUAUCACACAGUGUCAUUGUUACCACUGUUUCAAGUAUAUCACACAGUGUCAUUGUUACCACUGUUUCAAGUCACUUUAUAAUCAGUCCAGAAAAUAAUAUAAUAAGCCCCUUGGGCAUUUACAAAACAGAAGUUUCCAGCCGGAAUACAUUUAAAAAUAUCAUUUAAGUUUUCAACACUUAGAAUUAUGGCUGAGUUUGCAAAACAGCAUUUAAAACCUUUGACUGAAAUUAUAUGAUAUGCAAAUCAUGCUAAGUAGUAAUAUCAAUCCUCGAAGGAUUUUACAAAUCUGCACAAGGCCCCAAACAUGGCAUCAAACCCAGUAAUAUCAAUGAAGUAUGUGUAUCAAUCACCAAUAUAGUAUAAACAUCACACGGGAUGGACCAAGUCACAAUCCCCAAUAGUAUCCGACCCCACACUCACCAUGUAGUGCGUGUCACGCCUCAAUAUAGUGUUACGAUGUGAAAGUCCGGGGUUUCAAACCCUCAGAACAACAUUUACAUCUGUUACUCACCUCUAACCGGCAGUAGACUAGUCCGCAAUACCCUUUCCUCUUGAAUCGACCUCUUCGCACGUCGAAUCUAGUCAAAACCACAACGAAUACGUCACAAUAGGCUAAGGGAAUACAACCCAAUCGAAAAGACUCGAAAAAUGUCGAAAAUCCCGAAAUUAGCAAAACCCGAGCCCCGGGCCCACUUCUCGAAAAAUUACGAAAGUCACAUCACCGGAUUCCUCGUCUCUCCACGAGUCCGUACAUAUAAAAUUUACCAAAAUCGGAGUUCGUUUGACCCCUCAAAUCACCAAAUCUUAUUUUCAAAUCCCUAGGCCUAAAUCCUCAAAUUUUCUACAAUUUUCAUGCUCAAAUCCAUACAUAAUUGAUGUACUUAACUCAAAAUAGGUGGGGAUAACUUACCUUCACAUUGAUGAUGAAAAUCCCCUCUUGAAGCUCCCCAAAAAUCGUCCAUACUUUGAAGAAAUGAAGAAAAGUGAGCUAAAUCCGUGUAUAAAAGAAUUUGUCUGUGCUUCGUCGAGUUGUACCUUGCACUUGUGCUAUACAAGUUGUACAUCCUAUUAAAAUUGUUCCUUGUCG
RNAcentral lists this long non-coding RNA (1840 nucleotides) under Nicotiana tabacum (common tobacco). RNAcentral's name for it is "long non-coding RNA (NTAB_LNC009070)". The record is from RNAcentral. Lineage: Eukaryota; Viridiplantae; Streptophyta; Magnoliopsida; Solanales; Solanaceae.